RNAcentral lists this small RNA (1138 nucleotides) under Arabidopsis thaliana (thale cress). RNAcentral describes it as "ATSL016630". The record is from RNAcentral. Lineage: Eukaryota; Viridiplantae; Streptophyta; Magnoliopsida; Brassicales; Brassicaceae.
AAAAACUGUACAAAAUUUACAUUCAUUAAUCAAAGGCUAAUUAUAGUUUCUUAAAAUAUAUUAUUUAAAUACUAUUUUAUGUUUGAAUAAUUUUCACAACAAAAGAAAAUCAUCCUUAUUUGAAAGUUGAAACCUUAACUCACCACAUAAUUUUAUGUUAUUUUUCCGAAGAAUGUCGAUGUUAGAUAAAUACUAACAUAUAGUUUUUCGAGGAAAUCACGGGUUUACGUUUUUUGGCGGGAAAAUCAUGGGUUUACGUUUAUGCGGGAAAAUCACGAGUUUACGUUUUUGGCGGAAAAAUUACGGGUUUACGUUUUUGGCGGGAAAAUCACGGGUUUACGUUUUUGGCGGGAAAAUCACGGGUUUACGUUUUUUGGCGGGAAAAUCACGGGUUUACGUUUUUGGCGGGAAUAUCACAGGUUUUGGUUUUUGGCGGGAAUAUCACAGGUUUUGGUUUUUGGCGGGAAAAUUACGGAUUUACGUUUUUGGCGGGAAAAUCACGGUUUUACAUUUUUGUCGGGAAAAUCACGGGUUUACGUUGUUGGCGGGAAAAUUACGGGUUUACGUUUUUGGCGGGAAAAUCACAGGUUUUGUUUUUUGGCGAGAAAAUUACGGAUUUACGUUUUUGGCGGGAAAAUCACGGUUUUACGUUUUUGGCGGGAAAAUCACGGGUUUACUUUGUUGGCGAGAAAAUCACGGAUUUAUGUUUUUUGGUGGAAAAAUUACGAGUUUAUUUUUUCUCAAUUUCAUCGCUUGUAUAUUUAAGAAAUUUGGAAAAAUAUUGAUUUUAUUAAAUUGGUUUAGAUGUGUUGGUUAAGCUUAAAUUGAUAUUGGUUUAGAGAUUUUAGUUGGUUUAAUUCAAUUUUACAAAAAUUGAUGGGUUAAUUGGGUAAACAAUUGAAACCAUUAACCAUUACAACCCAACUCAUUUGACUCAUCAAACAAAUUGAUCCAAUAACUCAUUUGACUCAUCAACUCAUUUGAGUCAAAAAAUUUAACUCAUUAGGGUUCAUGGGUUGAGUUGAGUUGAGUUGGCCCAUGAAUUUUGACCCAUUUUGACACCCCUAUUUGAAACCUUAACUCACCACAUAAUUUUAUGUUAUUUUUCUGAAGAAUGUCGAUGUUAGAUAAAUACUAA